This 253-nucleotide ribosomal RNA is filed under the name uncultured bacterium. RNAcentral's name for it is "partial 16S ribosomal RNA". It matches the Rfam family "Bacterial small subunit ribosomal RNA", at positions 524 to 776 of the family's 1533-position model. The record is from RNAcentral.
UACGUAGGGUGCAAGCGUUGUCCGGAAUUAUUGGGCGUAAAGAGCUUGUAGGCGGUUUGUCGCGUCUGCUGUGAAAUUUCGGGGCUCAACCCCGAACUUGCAGUGGGUACGGGCAGACUAGAGUGCAGUAGGGGAGACUGGAAUUCCUGGUGUAGCGGUGAAAUGCGCAGAUAUCGGGAAGAACACCCGUGGCGAAGGCGGUUCUCUGGGACGGUACUGACGCUGAGACGCGAAAGCGUGGGGAGCGAACAGG